Molecule: ribosomal RNA, 271 nt
Filed under: uncultured bacterium
Lineage: Bacteria
Description: partial 16S ribosomal RNA
Rfam family: Bacterial small subunit ribosomal RNA
Source: RNAcentral
UACGUAUGGGGCAAGCGUUAUCCGGAUUCAUUGGGCGUAAAGAGCGCGUAGGCGGCUUGUUAAGCGAGAUGUGAAAACCGGGGGCUUAACCCGCGGCCUGCAUCUCGAACUGGCAGGCUUGAGUCUGGUAGAGGAGUGUGGAAUUCCCAGUGUAGCGGUGAAAUGCGCAGAUAUUGGGAGGAACACCAGUGGCGAAGGCGGCACUCUGGGCCACGACUGACGCUGAGGCGCGAAAGCUAGGGGAGCGAACAGGAUUAGAAACCCGUGUAGU